GACGAACGCUGGCGGCGUGCUUAACACAUGCAAGUCGAACGGAAAGGCCCUGCUUUUGUGGGGUGCUCGAGUGGCGAACGGGUGAGUAACACGUGAGUAACCUGCCCUUGACUUUGGGAUAACUUCAGGAAACUGGGGCUAAUACCGGAUAGGAUCUCCUGCUGCAUGGUGGGGGUUGGAAAGUUUCGGCGGUUGGGGAUGGACUCGCGGCUUAUCAGCUUGUUGGUGGGGUAGUGGCUUACCAAGGCUUUGACGGGUAGCCGGCCUGAGAGGGUGACCGGCCACAUUGGGACUGAGAUACGGCCCAGACUCCUACGGGAGGCAGCAGUGGGGAAUAUUGCACAAUGGGCGGAAGACUGAUGCAGCAACGCCGCGUGCGGGAUGACGGCCUUCGGGUUGUAAACCGCUUUCGCCUGUGACGAAGCGUGAGUGACGGUAAUGGGUAAAGAAGCACCGGCUAACUACGUG
Molecule: ribosomal RNA, 468 nt
Filed under: uncultured bacterium
Lineage: Bacteria
Description: partial 16S ribosomal RNA
Rfam family: Bacterial small subunit ribosomal RNA
Source: RNAcentral